This 498-nucleotide ribosomal RNA is filed under the name Flagellimonas flavescens. RNAcentral describes it as "bacterial SSU rRNA". It matches the Rfam family "Bacterial small subunit ribosomal RNA", at positions 35 to 524 of the family's 1533-position model. Lineage: Bacteria; Pseudomonadati; Bacteroidota; Flavobacteriia; Flavobacteriales; Flavobacteriaceae. The record is from RNAcentral.
AGGGCAAUCGGCAGCUAACACAUGCAGUCGAGGGGCAUCACGGGAAAGCUUGCUUUUCUGGUGGCGACCGGCGCACGGGUGCGGAACGCGUAUGGAACCUGCCCCUGUCAGGGGAAUAGCCCAGGGAAACUUGGAUUAAUGCCCCAUGGUAUCCGGGGAUCGCAUGAUUUCCGGAUUAAAGAUUUAUCGGACAGGGAUGGCCAUGCGUACCAUUAGCUGGUUGGUAAGGUAACGGCUUACCAAGGCAACGAUGGUUAGGGGCCCUGAGAGGGGGAUCCCCCACACUGGUACUGAGACACGGACCAGACUCCUACGGGAGGCAGCAGUGAGGAAUAUUGGACAAUGGGCGGGAGCCUGAUCCAGCCAUGCCGCGUGCAGGAUGACUGCCCUAUGGGUUGUAAACUGCUUUUAUACGGGAAGAAACCUCCCCUCGUGAGGGGAUUUGACGGUACCGUAAGAAUAAGGACCGGCUAACUCCGUGCCAGCAGCCGCGGUAAU